CCUGGAAAUAUCUACAAGACAGAAAUGCUCCCUAAGUCCAGAGGAAUUCAGGAGUGACCCAACCUCUUCUCCUUGAAAGAUUCCUAGCCAGCCUUAUUUCCUCCACAGGCCUGGUCUAGGGGCAGCAAAGAAGCCUUUGGCCAAGAUCAGAAUCCUGCCUAGGCCUCGAGGCUGGCAUCUUCACUGCUACAGCAAGAUCGUGACUGUCAGUCAUGUAGUACUGAAUGCGUGUUACUUGGGAGUGGCUAGAAGAACCAGAGGCCUCAUUUUUCACUAGAGUUGAGAGAAGAUGGGUGAGGAUAAAGAUCCAUUCAAUAUAACAGAUACUGGACACCGAAGAUGUGCCCCUCCGUGUCAAGGGACAGGCAUGCAAUAGGGCAAGCCUAACCAUUCCCUUCUUCCAGGACAAAUGGUGGGAAUACCUCCAAAGUUCAGCGAGUAGGAAUCCAACUAUGUGAAAAUGAAGAGUCAGACCAAGAGUUCAUUCAACCACGAGUACUGCACGGUGUUCUUCAGUCAAAACUUGAAUGUAAAGAUGACUCGUUUGUUCCUCUCUUGUCGUAUGUGUCUCAGAAGAACAGGAGUGAGCAUGGGGCUGCUUCUGGAGACUGGUCAUCUUCGGGGACACCGGACUUAGCAUCCGGAGUUCUGAGCUCUUGGUCUUCCUCUGCAGAGUGAUCCAGAAGAAAAGUAACAUGAAACACGGGACUUCCAGGGAUGAGAACUAUUGUCUAAAAUCAGCACUGGUCACUUCACACACGUGGGACCUGUGUACCACGGAAGGCCAAGCUGGUAUGGAUAUUCCACAGUCGCUGACCUGAAACUGAGGAUGACUUUUGGAUAAUGGGUCCAUGCUUCCAUAUAGCACUGGGCCCUAAAAUUCAAGUGACUGGACGUGCAUAGAUUGGGCAGAUUUCCUGAAGGUUUUACCAGGGUUGUUCCGGCUCUGGAGGGGCUAUGGCUUACAGAGCCUCUAUUCAUUCAACAAUAAUAAUGAAGAUUGCAGCCGUCAUUGGUCCAGUGUCUACCAGAGGGUGGACACCACACAGAUGAGAACUUCAUAAGCAAAUUCCUUAUCCCUAAGAAGAUACUCCAAAUCUUAUGUCAAAGUUUCAGAUAAUGGUACCGACCUUCAUCGUUAACUCACCUGUGAUCACACAGACAGACUCUGAGUCCAGCGUUGUAUCACUCCUAAACCUUUCUAUGAGGCACUGACAUGGAGUGCUGUCUCUGUCUUCAGGGGUUACACACACUGCUAACAAUGAUCGCAAAUGCAUGCAUGACAACCACAGUGUGCCAGAUGAUAUUCUAAGCAACAUACAUAUGCAUGCAACAUGUAUAUGCAUGUAAUAUAUAUGUUCAUUUAUA
Molecule: long non-coding RNA, 1368 nt
Organism: Mesocricetus auratus (golden hamster)
Lineage: Eukaryota; Metazoa; Chordata; Mammalia; Rodentia; Cricetidae
Exons: 2
Source: RefSeq, a predicted model, not a curated record